GACGAACGCUGGCGGCAUGCUUAACACAUGCAAGUCGAACGGAAAGGCCCUGCUUUUGUGGGGUGCUCGAGUGGCGAACGGGUGAGUAACACGUGAGUAACCUGCCCUUGACUUUGGGAUAACUUCAGGAAACUGGGGCUAAUACCGGAUAGGAGCUCCUGCUGCAUGGUGGGGGUUGGAAAGUUUCGGCGGUUGGGGAUGGACUCGCGGCUUAUCAGCUUGUUGGUGGGGUAGUGGCUUACCAAGGCUUUGACGGGUAGCCGGCCUGAGAGGGUGACCGGCCACAUUGGGACUGAGAUACGGCCCAGACUCCUACGGGAGGCAGCAGAGGGGAAUAUUGCACAAUGGGCGGAAGCCUGAUGCAGCAACGCCGCGUGCGGGAUGACGGCCUUCGGGUUGUAAACCGCUUUCGCCUGUGACGAAGCGUGAGUGACGGUAAUGGGUAAAGAAGCACCGGCUAACUACGUG
RNAcentral lists this ribosomal RNA (468 nucleotides) under uncultured bacterium. Its description in RNAcentral is "partial 16S ribosomal RNA". It matches the Rfam family "Bacterial small subunit ribosomal RNA", at positions 28 to 507 of the family's 1533-position model. The record is from RNAcentral.